CCAGAUCGUCAUUACAGUGUCUAUGCAAAACUGUUCUAAGAAGAUGGAGGCGCCGACAUGUCUGGGCCGCAAGUUCACUGGGGAAUAUACCAUCAUAUCUAUAAGAAGUUGGACUGGUAUGUGGGGGAAUCGGAACUUGGAGAAGGCUUUUGAGUUUAUGACUUUUAUGAUGGUGCGCAUGCCUUCCACACAUCUCUGGAGGUCCUCGGGCUCCUCGAAGUAAUUGAAGGUGACAUAUGGGUUGUCUUCUGGGUUGGUGGUUCGGAGCUUCAGGUGGCCUGUUGAGAUCGGACCUUUGAUCUUCUCAAGGAUGAUUCCACCUCUCACUGUUGCUUUCAUCAUGGUGUUCAUGGCUUUAUGGGCUUUCUCCGUACCUUUUGGGUUUGUAGAAGCAUUGGAUAACUGUUCAGGAGGCCUGUGAAACCAAGAACGGAUGAUAUCGGAACCGCUAGCGGCUUCGAUGUAACUCCCAAACGUGGUGAUGCCCACGACUUGGAUGAGGGAAUUUUCGACGGGCCGUGGAGAGGGAAUGGGCAGGGCAUUCAUUGGGUUGUCAGCCAUGCCUUGGCCAACCAUGGGCUGCUCCAGAAUCACUGGGAUACCAUGGGCCUUAAGAUGGGACUCAGGCCCAAUUCCACUCAGCAUCAACAAUUGUGGGCUUCCAAUCGCGCCAGCUGACAAUAUGAUCUCGCUCUUGGAGUCCCUCCUAUACGCAUUAUGCCUGACUCCUACUUCAUCUCUAAAUAUCACACCUGAGGCUAUUGGCUUUGAUUCUCCUGCAUCAACCAUCAUCAUAAAGAUGAAAAAGCAUUAAUUUCACAAUCAUAUCAAACAUAUUGCCCAACAUUCAGAAUAUCUCAUUUUCCCUAUAGAACAAUGCUAUUUUAUGUUGUCAGAAAAUCACUUGGACAUUUUCGAUUUUUUUUAGAUUAAUGUUCGUAGCAGCUUAUAAAAAUGGGUAUCCCCCAAACAGAUCAUCGAAUAUAUACAAGGUUAUGCAAACCCUAAACUAAUGUUUUUCGUCCUUAAUUCUAGGGGUUUGUGAUUCAAAAAUAUAUAUUGUAUCAACACGUUAUUAAAUCUUACCAUGCAAUCUAAACUCAAUCUUCUCCACUGUUGCAUGUAAGAGAACAACAAUAUUUUUAGGGUUGGCAUACUCGAGCAAAUCAGCAGCAGUGUGUCUGUGAUCCUGAUGAUCGAAUAUGGUUCCGCCAACUUUAGUCCCAUACAAAUGUUCAUAGCUAAAUCCAUUGUAUGGCAACACACCUGCCUCCAGCAAUCCAUCUCUGACAGCAGACUGCCACUGCAGCAUCGGGGGCUUGAACACCACCUUCUUUUCCACCCAUUCAUAAGAUUCCUUCACCAGUCUUUCGUCCCAGCCUGAGCUUUUUACGAAGCCGGCGCUAGCUCUUGAAUAAAAACCAGCAUUCAAGGCGCUUCCACCACCUAGAACACGGGCUCGAGUGUUGAAGACUCCAUCUUCAGAGAUGAAGGAUUGGGAAGGUGAUAAUGGAGAAUUGUCCAAAAUGUUGGCAAAGAACGAAUCCAGGUUUCUUAUCUUAGGGUUGCCAUAGGGCGAGCCUCCUCUUUCAAGCACCAAAACGGUAGCGUUUUGGGAGAGAGUUGCAGCCAAUGCACAGCCAGAGGUUCCACCCCCAAUGAUUAUAUAGUCGUAAUAUAGGUUUGGUGGAGCCUGUUUUGCUUCUUGGAGGAAUGAAUAAUUGGGAGCUGCAUAUGGAGAGUAUAACAAGAUCCAUUUUAAUGGAGAAAUUAAUAAACAGAGAAACAAAGCUUUGCAUCUUAUAUUUUUCUGAUCUUUAUAUGUAAUGAAAUAUCAGUAUUCAGUGAGAAAUUCAUACCUUUCUCUGAGUAACAGAAGCCAUGAAAGAACAGUAAUACUCCAGCAAGAGCUGCACCAAAAUUUCUCCACCACCUCAAACCCAUAAUCUAAUUAACUUCAGGAUCCCAACCUCAAAAAACACUUUCUGGGACUUCUCUAGAAAAUCUAAACCAGACUAAUAAGCUUUAUGUCUGCUCAACAUAUCAAUCUCUACCGCGUUACAUGAAUGAGCUCAAAACCAUGCAAGGAUAUCGGUUUCAAUACACUGGAGACAUGAAGUUGUAGCUCAACAACAAGAAUUGCUUGCAGCCAUUCCUGCAGGGAUAUAAAGAUUUAGUUCAGUGCCCAAGAAGGUAGCUACCCAGCUUGUUGAAAUGCCAAUAUCCCUUCCCUUUUAUCCCUUUGGUUGUAGAAAAGGGUGCCCAUACAGCUUGUUGGUAGAACUUGCAUAAUUAAUAUGGUAUAUAUUGUUUGGUUAAUUUAGUAGACCCUGAGACUUCGUAACGGACAGUUGGCAAGUGAUUAAUGUCUCCAAUUAAUUAAUGAAUAUCCAAAAGAUAUCAUCAAUCAAAAGAUGUCAUCAAUCAACCAUAUAUAAAUAUAUAUAUAUAUACAUAUAUAAAAUGUUUUAUAAGACAAAAGUUUGUUAGAAAAUAUGAAAUAUUUUUAUCAUACUUCUAAUAUUUUUAAAUAUUUUAUAUAUCUAUUUCUAUAUUUUUAAUUAUUAUACAUAUUUGCAUAUUUAUUUUUUAAAAUAACCAUUCAAAAAUAAUUGAAAAUGACUAAAAGAUAUUAUUUAAAAACAUCAUAUUUUAUAUUUUAGAAAGAAAAUAGUUUUUUAAUUGUCAAAAGUGUUUUCCUAUUUUUUAUUUUAAAGAACAAAUUUUUUUUUUAAAUAGUUACCUAACAAAGCCUAACCCUUGUUUUUUCUUUUCUUUUUUUUCUUUUUGUCUUUCUUCCUUUUUUAUAACUCCUUAAGUUUGAUAUUAUUAUAGCAUUUUUCCUUUAAAAUUGAACAUGUCAAUGUAAUUCUCCAAAUACGAUGCACUUUGAACAUUUUGCUAAAAGAAGAAAAAAUGUUUGCAUAUGGUUUUGAUUUAGAGCAAAAGAAGAUAAUUUAGGUGAGUUCAUUAACUAGUACACUAACCAAAUUAGAGAGAGUCUGGGAAAAUGAAAUGUUCCAACCUAUCCACUUCCAAUGAAUUAACAAUUAUAGGCCAUGGAGCCAUCCCUUGGUUGUGACAACUCAACCAUACUAAAAUAAUCAUAUUUACCAUGUUUUUCUAACCCGAGAGGCACACAACUUCAUAUAUAUUGACGAAUUUGUCAUGAGGAUGAUUUUUUUUAAUUUCAACUUAGCCUAGCUCAAAGAGGUAUUUCAUGCUAAGAGUUACCAAUUGGUGUAGUGUAUAUUAUUAUUAGUGUUUAGUUGGUAAUUAUUGAUCCCUGAAUUUGGAAAAAUUUGUUAUUGUAAAAACGUGCGCUCUAACGUCUCAAUUUGUGAAAUCUAUAAAUUUCACAUUUGAAAUUUCACCUACCAUUGACCUAUGAUAUAUAUCUUAAUUAAUCAAUCUAAGUAAAGUAGUGAAUUUAGAAUUCCAAAUUAAGAAGAAAAAAUGUUUGCAUAUGGUUUCGAUUUAGAGCAAAAGAAGAAAGUUUAGGUGAGUUCAUUAACUACUACACUAACAAAAUUAGAGAGUUUGGGAAAAUGAAAUGUUCCGACCUACCAUAAUGAAUUAACAAUUAUUGGCCAUGGAGCCAUCCCUUGGUUGUGACAACUCAACCAUACUAAAAUAAUCAUAUUUACCAUGUAUUUCAAACCCGAGAGGCACACAACUUCAUAUAUAUUAACGAAUUUGUCAUGAGGAUGCUUUUUUUAAUUUCAAUUUAGGCUAAAAGAGGUAUUUCAUACUAAGUGUUACCAAUUGGUGUAGUAUAUAUUGUUAUUAGUGUUUAGUUGGUAAUUAUUGAUCCUUGAAUUUGAAAGUAUUUGUUAUUGUAAAAAUGCUCUAACAACAUCUCAAUUUGUGAAAUCUAUAAAUUUCACAUUUGAGAUUUCACCUACCAUUGACCUAUGAUAUAUAUGUUAAUAAAUCAAUGUUAGUAAUGUAGUGACUUUAGAAUUCCAAAUCAAUCUCAUAAAGAAAAUGACAUGGUCAAUAAAAGAAUUUAAGUGGAAUAUCUUAUUACAAGUUCAAAAAUCACAAUCAUUCCAACUACUCAAAAUCUACUAUUAUUGAUUUUCUUAUCGAACUCAAUCCACAUGAUUAAUUUCCUACCUCCUACUAUCUUUUCACAAUUCAUGGUCAAUGCUUCACUAAUUCGAAAUCACUUCACCCUAAUUAAUCUUUAGGAUCUCACCUACCUACAUCUUACCAAUGACACUAAAAUGGAUGAAUCAUAGAAUGGACUCAUAUAUAAUUCAAACAUUCAAGUGAAAUAUUGUCAAUGACACAAACUCUCCAUGAUGAUCUUCAUGGCCCAUUUUUGCCCCCAAUUUCGAAUUUCGUCAUCAUGGAAGAUCCCUCUAUGUAUUCCCUCUUUGGGACUAAUAAUUUGAGUUUCAAAAGUUUGAAUUUAAGCUUGAAAUGUUUGGUUUUAAAAUGUGACAAAAGUAAGCAUAUUUUCCUAAAUUUUUUUUAUACUAGUGACUUCCAAGAGAACAAUAAAAUUAAUAUUCAUUUGGUUUUGAUUAAUUUUUUUCCUUUAAAAUUGAACAUGUCAAUGUGAUUCUCCAAAUACGAUGCACUUUGAACAUUUUUCUAAAAGAAGAAAAAAUGUUUGCAUAUGGUUUUGAUUUAGAGCAAAAGAAGAAAAUUUAGGUGAGUUCAUUAACUACUACACUAACCAAAUUAGAGAGAGUCUAGGAAAAUGAAAUGUUCCAACCUACCCUAAUGAAUUAACAAUUAUAAGCCACGGAGCCAUCCCAUGGUUGUGACAAUUCAACCAUACUAAAAUAAUCAUAUUUACCAUGUUUUUCAAACCCAAGAGGCACACAACUUCAUAUAUAUUGACGAAUUUGUCAUGAGGAUUCUUUUUUAAUUUCAACUUAGCCUAAAAAAGGUAUUUCAUGCUAAGUAUUACCAAUUGGUGUAAUAUAUAUUGUUAUUAGUGUUUAGUUGGUAAUUAUUGAUCCUUGAAUUUGGAAGUAUUUGUUAUUGUAAAAAUGCUUUAACAACAUCUCAUUUUGUGAAAUCUAUAAAUUUUGAUCACAUUUGAGAUUUCACCCUAUGAUAUAUAUGUUAAUUAAUCAAUGUUAGUAAUGUAGUGAAUUUAGAAUUCCAAAUCAAUCUCAUAAAGAAAAUGACAUGGUCAAUAAAAGAAUUUAAGUGGAAUAUCUUAUUACAAGUUCAAAAUCACAAUCAUCCCAACUACUCAAAAUCUAUUAUUAUUGAUUUUCUUAUCAAACUCAAUCCACGUGAUUAAUUUUCUACCUCCUACUAUCUUUUCACAAUUCAUGGUCAAUGCUUUGCUAAUUCGAAAUCACUUCACCCUAAUUAAUCUUUAGGAUCUAACCUAGCUACAUCUUACCAAUGACACUAAAAUGGAUGAAUCAUAUAAUGAACUCAUAUCUAAUUUAAACAUUUAAAUGAAAUCUUGUCAAUGACACACAAACUCUCCAUGAUGAUCUUCCGUUGGCCCAUUUUUGCUCCCAAUUUCGAGUUCCGCCAUCGUGGAAGAUCCAUCUAUGUAUUCCCUCCUUGGGACUAAUAAUUUGAGUUUCAAAAGUUUGAAUUUAAGCUUGAAAUGUUUGGUUUUAAAAUGUGACAAAAGUAAGCAUAUUUUCCUAAAAAAAUUUUAUACUCGUGAUUUCCAAGAGAACAAUAAAAUUAAUAUUCAUAUGGUUUUGAUUAAAUUUUUUUUUCCUUUAAAAUUGAACAUGUCAAUGUAAUUCUCCAAAUACGAUACACUUUCAACAUUUACAGAGCUUCCAUUCGUAAUGUAGGUGAAGCUAUUUAUUAGCAGCAAAUCCUUACUUCUCAAACUUUCAAACCCACUUGAUAAAGCCCAAAAAAAAAAAUCACAAUUUUUGCUACUUCAUCUUUCACCAAGAAUCUUCUCUCCCAUGUACCUGCAUUAGAAAAUUAAAAGGAAAAAAAAAAUCAGUAAUAAUGGAAAAAAAAAAUACGAAUAUUUGAUUAUGAUAAACGACUAGGUACCUUCCAAGCAUCAUAACAGUAGCUUGUGGAUUAGUCCCCGGAGAGUGAUUAAAGGUGGAACCAUCUAUAAUUCUUAGCCCAUCCACGCCAAUAACCUUGUAGUCUGGCUCCACCACUCGCCCAACAUGGCAGCCUCCAUGAUAAUGCCAGAUCGUCAUUACAGUGUCUAUGCAAAACUGUUCUAAGAAGAUGGAGGCACCGACAUGUCUGGGCCGCAAGUUCACUGGGGAAUAUACCAUCAUAUCUAUUAGAAGUUGGACUCGUAUGUGGGGGAAUCGGAACUUGGAGAAGGCUUUUGAGUUUAUGACUUUUAUGAUGGUGCGCAUGCCUUCCACACAUCUCUGGAGGUCCUCGGGCUCCUCGAAGUAAUUGAAGGUGACAUAUGGGUUGUCUUCUGGGUUGGUGGUUCGGAGCUUCAGGUGGCCUGUUGAGAUCGGACCUUUGAUCUUCUCAAGGAUGAUUCCACCUCUCACUGUUGCUUUCAUCAUGGUGUUCAUGGCUUUAUGGGCUUUCUCCGUACCUUUUGGGUUUGUAGAAGCAUUGGAUAACUGUUCAGGAGGCCUGUG
RNAcentral lists this long non-coding RNA (6566 nucleotides) under Vitis vinifera (wine grape). Its description in RNAcentral is "long non-coding RNA (VVIN_LNC005477)". The record is from RNAcentral. Lineage: Eukaryota; Viridiplantae; Streptophyta; Magnoliopsida; Vitales; Vitaceae.